CCUACGGGUGGCAGCAGUGAGGAAUAUUGGUCAAUGGGCUUACGCCUGAACCAGCCAAGUCGCGUGAGGGAAGACUGCCCUAUGGGUUGUAAACCUCUUUUGUCAGGGAGCAAUUGUCUCUACGUGUAGCGUUUUCGAGAUUACCUGAAGAAAAAGCAUCGGCUAACUCCGUGCCAGCAGCCGCGUUAAUACGGAGGAUGCGAGCGUUACCCGGAUUUUUGGGGUUAAAGGGGUGCGUAGGUGGAAUUCCAAGUCGCCGGGAAAGUCGCGGGGCUCAACCUCGAUCCGCCGUUGAAACUGGCGUUCUUGAGUGGGCGAGAAGUAUGCGGAAUGCGUGGUGUAGCGGUGAAAUGCAUAGAUAUCACGCAGAACGCCGAUUGCGAAGGCAGCAUAC
RNAcentral lists this ribosomal RNA (394 nucleotides) under uncultured bacterium. RNAcentral's name for it is "partial 16S ribosomal RNA". It matches the Rfam family "Bacterial small subunit ribosomal RNA", at positions 338 to 729 of the family's 1533-position model. The record is from RNAcentral.